RNAcentral lists this ribosomal RNA (492 nucleotides) under uncultured bacterium. RNAcentral describes it as "partial 16S ribosomal RNA". It matches the Rfam family "Bacterial small subunit ribosomal RNA", at positions 29 to 507 of the family's 1533-position model. The record is from RNAcentral.
AGUGAACGCUGGCGGUAGGCCUAACACAUGCAAGUCGAACGGCAGCACAGUAAGAGCUUGCUCUUACGGGUGGCGAGUGGCGGACGGGUGAGGAAUACAUCGGAAUCUACUUUUUCGUGGGGGAUAACGUAGGGAAACUUACGCUAAUACCGCAUACGACCUACGGGUGAAAGCAGGGGAUCUUCGGACCUUGCGCGAUUGCAUGAGCCGAUGUCGGAUUAGCUAGUUGGCGGGGUAAAGGCCCACCAAGGCGACGAUCCGUAGCUGGUCUGAGAGGAUGAUCAGCCACACUGGAACUGGGACACGGUCCAGACUCCUACGGGAGGCAGCAGUGGGGAAUAUUGGACAAUGGGCGCAAGCCUGAUCCAGCCAUACCGCGUGGGUGAAGAAGGCCUUCGGGUUGUAAAGCCCUUUUGUUGGGGAAGAAAAGCAGCAGGUUAAUACCCCGCUGUUCUGACGGUACCCAAAGAAUAAGCACCGGCUAACUUCGCG